This 680-nucleotide ribosomal RNA is filed under the name uncultured Bacillota bacterium. RNAcentral describes it as "bacterial SSU rRNA". It matches the Rfam family "Bacterial small subunit ribosomal RNA", at positions 77 to 747 of the family's 1533-position model. Lineage: Bacteria; Bacillati; Bacillota. The record is from RNAcentral.
UCCUCGGACUUCGAGUGGCGAACGGGUGAGUAACACGUAUUCAAUCUGCCCUAACGACUGGGAUACCCUCGGGAAACCUUGGCUAAUACCGGAUAGGAAAUUUUGAUCGCAUGAUCGAAAUUUUAAAGGAUCUUUUGAUUCACGAUAGGAUGAGAAUGCGGCGCAUUAGUUAGUUGGUGAGAUAAAAGCCCACCAAGACGAGGAUGCGUAGCCGACCUGAGAGGGUGAUCGGCCACAAUGGAACUGAGACACGGUCCAUACUCCUACGGGAGGCAGCAGUAGGGAGUUUUCGGCAAUGGGGGAAACCCUGACCGAGCAACGCCGCGUGAGUGAUGAAGGCCCUAUGGGUCGUAAAAUUCUGUUAUAUGGGACGAACCAUAUCAMUGAGAGAAACGGUGAUAUCUGACUGUACCAUAUGAGAAAGGAACGGCUAACUACGUGCCAGCAGCCGCGGUAAUACGUAGGUUCCAAGCGUUAUCCGGAAUUAUUGGGCGUAAAGAGUGAGCAGGCGGCUUUUCAAGUCUGAAGUCAAAUCCGGUGGCUUAACCAUCGUUCGCUUUGGAAACUAGAAAGCUAGAGUUCGGGAGAGGUAAAUGGAACUCCAUGUGUAGCGGUAAAAUGMGWAGAUAUAUGGAAGAACACCAGUGGCGAAGGCGAUUUACUAGACCGAUACUGACGCU